GCGGCAGGCCAACACAUGCAAGUCGAGCGCGAAAGUUCUUCGGAACGAGUAGAGCGGCGGACGGGUGAGUAACGCGUGGGAAAUUGCCCAGUAGUGGGGGACAACNNNNNNNNNNGGAUGCUAAUACCGCAUACGCCCUACGGGGGAAAGCAGGGGAUCUUUGGACCUUGUGCUAUUGGAUAUGCCCGCGUCGGAUUAGCUAGUUGGUGAGGUAAUGGCUCACCAAGGCAACGAUCCGUAGCUGGUCUGAGAGGAUGAUCAGCCACACUGGGACUGAGACACGGCCCAGACUCCUACAGUGGAGGCAGCAGUGGGGAAUAUUGGACAAUGGGCGCAAGCCUGAUCCAGCCAUGCCGCGUGUGUGAAGAAGGCUCUAGGGUUGUAAAGCACUUUCAGUAGGGAGGAAGGCCUUAAAGUUAAUACCUUUGAGGAUUGACGUUACCUACAGAAGAAGCACCGGGCUAACUACGCGCCAGCAGCCGCGGUAAUACGGAGGGUGCGAGCGUUAAUCGGAAUACUGGGCGUAAAGCGCGCANUAGGCGGUUAGUUAAGCUGGAUGUGAAAGCCCCGGGCUAACCUGGGAAGUGNAUUAGAACUGGCUGGCUAGAGUCCAAGAGAGGGUAGUGGAUUUCUGUGUACGGUUAA
Molecule: ribosomal RNA, 645 nt
Filed under: gamma proteobacterium AB008
Lineage: Bacteria; Pseudomonadati; Pseudomonadota; Gammaproteobacteria
Description: bacterial SSU rRNA
Rfam family: Bacterial small subunit ribosomal RNA
Source: RNAcentral